UCUAAAGAUAAUGACGUUUUCUUCACAAAUUUACACUCGUUCAGCGGUUUCCUAUUUAGCUCUUCAUUAUCACAAUUUUCGACAUUAUCUUUACCUGAUAUCCUAGAACGAUACACACAGGGAGAUCUUUCCUCUGAAAACGGCUGACUGUCUCGAAUUUGGGACUGUCUAGAAUUUUGUGGACUGACUGUCUGGAGUUUCGUGGGCUGGCUGUGGAGGGCACUGCAGCUGAUAUCAAUGGAGUUUACAAAACGAGCGUUUAUGUUGGUUGUUGUGUUCGUGCUUACCUGCCGCACACUGGCCAACAACGGCACCUCCAACGAAACAACCAUAGUGCCGGAUGACCAUGGAUCUAAUCCUCACAACGAGGCAUCAUGGACCGUCGCCGUUUCCUUGACAACACUUCUAUGUGCAGCCAUUUUGAAUAAAAUAUUCUAAUGAGACUUGGGAGGUCCUAUAGAUGUACAGUUUUGCUGUACAAUAGCUUCAAAUGUAUAUAAAUUCAAAGUCAUAUAACUUUUGUCUAUCUUUAUGUGUAUAAAUUGUAGAACAGACAUAUUCUUGUGAAAGUCAUAUAUUGACCCAGGCUCAAAACCAUUUCAGAGUUUUAAUUGUGCAACUUGUGUGUCAUUUCAUAUUGAUCAAUUACAUAAACAACCCAUUCAUAGGUGUUUCUGGCGGAAAAAUGUCAUUUUAAACUCUUGGUUCAAUUUAUACUGAUGCAUAUUUUAUAAGUUUUAAUUGUUUCUGUAAAAUAUUAAAAUACUGCUUGCACUUAAAAAAUACUGUGCAUAUCUGGAUAUACAAUGUACAAUGUUCAAAUUAUCAACAAAAUCAAGAUAAGAAUGUUCAUUAUCAUAAUUAUGCUGUAGCUAAAGUACAUUUUAACAAGUACCUCAUGUAUUCUGCAGAGCUUCCCAUGAUUCACGAGAUGAAAUGUAAUUUAACAGAUUUGUAUCCUAAUAUCACAACCUCCUGAUAUUUGUAAGAAGCCGCAUCUCCUUAUUCACUUUAUGUACUUAGUGGAGUUGUUCUUGCUCUCUGUGAUGAAUUUUGUUUUCCAGUUCAAACAAUAUUUAUAUAGGAAGCUGAAACAUUGCAAUUUUUGUUUCCUUUCCACCAUUUUACAUAUUGUUUUAAAAAAAAAUUACCCACGUCCAUCUGUCUGCCCAUUCCACAUAGAAUACAUACUAUUAGUUCAAAUUCUGCCCAUCCCAUAUAGAUACAUAGUUCAAAUUAACUCUUCCUUCUACCCAUCCUACAGAGUUCAAAUUAACUCAUGUAUGCCCAUCCCAUAUGGUUCAAAUUAACUCCUCCUUCUGUCCAUCCCACACUGGUGCAUGGUUCACAGUAACUCCUCCUUCUGUCCAUCCCACAUGUGGUACAUGGUUCACCGUAACUCCCAUGUUGAUAACCACAGGUUAUUGUUUCCAUUCCACAAACCCAGAUUUGUGGAAUUGAAUGGAGACAAUUCCCUGUGGUUUGAGAGGAUGAGUUGAGAAACAAUACCCAGUGGUUUGCAAGGAUGAGUAACUCCUCCGUCAGCCCAUCCUACACGGAGCACAUGGUUCAGAGUAACACAUGCUUUCCCUGCAUUUGUCUUUGAAAUGACUAAAAAUCUAUAUUUCUAACACCCUCUUGGUUCAAAGUUUGUGCUACAUUCAUUAAUCACAAUAAGUUUGACACAUGAUACACAGAUCUAGUUUUCAUUGAUGCUCAUGGUCCAUUAUUCCUAUUCAAGUGACUGACUGAACAGAAGGAUUUUCAAAGAAAAACAACAAAAAAUAUUCUACACUGUGAUGCCAUAUUCUAAUUUCGGAGAAAUCAAAUAAUAUCUCAUUUCAGGGCAAGAAAUGGAUAUUGUUUGACCUCAUCCUUUUUUUAGCUGCAGAACUGUUAGUUCUCAGAGAAAAUAUUGGGAUAGAUCUGUCCCAAUAUUUUCUCAGAGAGCUACAUUUCUGCAGCUACCAUUUUUAAUGAAUGACGGGAUGUUGAAAUUUUUCUGUUCUACAUGACCAUAUUUGUAUAUCACGAUGCUUUAUGGCCCAGUAAUGUCUGUCCAUCCGUCUGUCUGGGGUUUCUUUACUGAUAUCGAUUAAUAUGCUUUCACAGAAUGAAUUAAAACUUGCUUGUGGAAACUCCAGAGCAUAUAUUUGCAAGAACUAUUCCUUUUCUUUGUAAACUUAAUUUUCACACAGAGAGUACAUGGUUCGCCAGUCAAACUCCUCCAGUUUACAAGCUAGGACCUUAUAAGUGUUUUAUUGAAGAUGAGUAUAUAUGUUGUAAUACAGUGUAGAUUUGAUUUUCUUUCCUUUUUUCAUUUUGAACUUGAUUUAAAAAGUGUGGAUGCUUUCCUCUGACGACAAGGGUAUUUCUGAACCAUUGGCUGCAUUCAUGUUUAGAACUCAUUUUACCACAAAAGUUGGGUUUUUUUGCAUUAGUUACAAUCACAUUUUUAAAACUCCUUGUAAUGUUGAAAACUAUCAGUCUGAGAAAGCAACAAGACAGGGUAUCCCACAUUGUGGGAACAUCAGUGUUACUUUAAUGUCACAGGUUUACUAAAUCUAUCAUCUUCCCUAAGCUUCAUUCAAGUCUGCAAUGGGGGAUCAAUGUUGUCUAGUUAUUAACUUGUCAUAAAAAAAUCAAUUCAGUUUGUAAAAAGAUGAUCAACCUUAGAAGAAUUGUCAGACACCUGCUACUAAAAUAAAAAUACAUUGUCAGAUUAAACUCAAAAAGUUGAAACACUUUACAAUGUUAUACAUUCAUUUAUUUGUGAAUUGUACUGUCUGUAAAUGUUAAUCUAAUGAAUAAAAAUAACAUUCUAUUGAGAAAAA
Molecule: long non-coding RNA, 2834 nt
Organism: Ostrea edulis (European flat oyster)
Lineage: Eukaryota; Metazoa; Mollusca; Bivalvia; Ostreida; Ostreidae
Exons: 3
Source: RefSeq, a predicted model, not a curated record